Molecule: long non-coding RNA, 246 nt
Filed under: Capsicum annuum
Lineage: Eukaryota; Viridiplantae; Streptophyta; Magnoliopsida; Solanales; Solanaceae
Description: long non-coding RNA (CANN_LNC018527)
Source: RNAcentral
ACAACAUAAUUCUUUAAGUAGAAUUUUGCGUCGGCAAAAUGUAACUCAACUUCAGUGAAAAGCUUGUCAUUUGCAACUAUCUUUUUUUUCACUCCGCCUUUGAGGUACUUCAAGCAUUGAUAGUAAGAGGGCGAGAUAAUUUUAUUCCCAUACACCCAAGGCCUACCAAGUAAUAUAUUAUAUGAAGUUUUAGCAUCGAUUACAUGCAUCAAUGCGUUUGAUUGAAAAUCAUCCAUAUAAAUCCCC